GAUGAACGCUGGCGGCGUGCCUAAUACAUGCAAGUCGAGCGAACAGACGAGGAGCUUGCUCCUCUGACGUUAGCGGCGGACGGGUGAGUAACACGUGGAUAACCUACCUAUGAGACUGGGAUAACUUCGGGAAACCGGAGCUAAUACCGGAUAAUAUAUUGAACCGCAUGGUUCAAUAGUGAAAGACGGUUUUGCUGUCACUUAUAGAUGGAUCCGCGCCGCAUUAGCUAGUUGGUAAAGUAACGGCUUACCAAGGCAACGAUGCGUAGCCGACCUGAGAGGGUGAUCGGCCACACUGGAACUGAGACACGGUCCAGACUCCUACGGGAGGCAGCAGUAGGGAAUCUUCCGCAAUGGGCGAAAGCCUGACGGAGCAACGCCGCGUGAGUGAUGAAGGUCUUCGGAUCGUAAAACUCUGUUAUUAGGGAAGAACAAAUGUGUAAGUAACUAUGCACGUCUUGACGGUACCUAAUCAGAAAGCCACGGCUAACUACGUG
Molecule: ribosomal RNA, 497 nt
Filed under: uncultured bacterium
Lineage: Bacteria
Description: partial 16S ribosomal RNA
Rfam family: Bacterial small subunit ribosomal RNA
Source: RNAcentral